GACAGAGGGGGCAAGCGUUGCUCGGAAUCACUGGGCGUAAAGGGCGCGUAGGCGGGAUGGCAAGUCGGUCGUGAAAUCCUUCGGCUCAACCGAAGAACGUCGGCCGAUACUGCCGUUCUUGAGGGAUGCAGAGGAGAUUGGAAUUCCCGGUGUAGCGGUGAAAUGUGUAGAGAUCGGGAGGAACACCGGUGGCGAAGGCGGCCACCUGGACGAACACUGACGCUGAGACGCGAAAGCGUGGGGAGCAAACAGG
This 253-nucleotide ribosomal RNA is filed under the name uncultured bacterium. Its description in RNAcentral is "partial 16S ribosomal RNA". It matches the Rfam family "Bacterial small subunit ribosomal RNA", at positions 524 to 776 of the family's 1533-position model. The record is from RNAcentral.